UGGGGAAUAUUGGACAAUGGGCGCAAGCCUGAUCCAGCCAUGCCGCGUGAGUGAUGAAGGCCCUAGGGUUGUAAAGCUCUUUCACCGGUGAAGAUAAUGACGGUAACCGGAGAAGAAGCCCCGGCUAACUUCGUGCCAGCAGCCGCGGUAAUACGAAGGGGGCUAGCGUUGUUCGGAAUUACUGGGCGUAAAGCGCACGUAGGCGGACAUUUAAGUCAGGGGUGAAAUCCCGGGGCUCAACCCCGGAACUGCCUUUGAUACUGGGUGUCUAGAGUUCGAGAGAGGUGAGUGGAAUUCCGAGUGUAGAGGUGAAAUUCGUAGAUAUUCGGAGGAACACCAGUGGCGAAGGCGGCUCACUGGCUCGAUACUGACGCUGAGGUGCGAAAGCGUGGGGAGCAAAGCAGGAUUAGAUACCCUGGUAGUCCACGCCGUAAACGAUGGAAGCCAGCUGUCGGCAAGUUACUUGUCGGUGGCGCAGCUACGCAUUAAGCUUCCCGCCUGGGGAGUACGGUCGCAAGAUU
RNAcentral lists this ribosomal RNA (521 nucleotides) under uncultured bacterium. RNAcentral's name for it is "partial 16S ribosomal RNA". It matches the Rfam family "Bacterial small subunit ribosomal RNA", at positions 355 to 895 of the family's 1533-position model. The record is from RNAcentral.